GACGUUGGGCGCGAGCGUUGUCCGGAUUUAUUGGGCGUAAAGAGCUCGUAGGCGGCUUGUCGCGUCGUCCGUGAAAACCUGCGGCUCAACUGCAGGCUGGCGGUCGAUACGGGCAGGCUGGAGUUCGGUAGGGGAGACUGGAAUUCCUGGUGUAGCGGUGAAAUGCGCAGAUAUCAGGAGGAACACCGAUGGCGAAAGCAGCUUCUUGGCCCAAUCCUGACGCUGAUGCACGAAAGCGUGGGGAGCAAACAGG
Molecule: ribosomal RNA, 253 nt
Filed under: uncultured bacterium
Lineage: Bacteria
Description: partial 16S ribosomal RNA
Rfam family: Bacterial small subunit ribosomal RNA
Source: RNAcentral